GUUUGUCGCGUCGUCUGUGAAAUCCCGGGGCCUAACUUCGGGCGUGCAGGCGAUACGGGCAUAACUUGAGUGCUGUAGGGGAGACUGGAAUUCCUGGUGUAGCGGUGAAAUGCGCAGAUAUCAGGAGGAACACCGAUGGCGAAGGCAGGUCUCUGGGCAGUAACUGACGCUGAGGAGCGAAAGCAUGGGUAGCGAACAGGAUUAGAUACCCUGGUAGUCCAUGCCGUAAACGGUGGGCGCUAGGUGUAGGGGGCUUCCACGUCUUCUGUGCCGUAGCUAACGCAUUAAGCGCCCCGCCUGGGGAGUACGGCCGCAAGGCUAAAACUCAAAGGAAUUGACGGGGGCCCGCACAAGCGGCGGAGCAUGUGGAUUAAUUCGAUGCAACGCGAAGAACCUUACCUGGGCUUGACAUGUACCGGAUCGGGCUAGAGAUAGUCUUUCCCUUGUGGUCGGUAUACAGGUGGUGCAUGGUUGUCGUCAGCUCGUGUCGUGAGAUGUUGGGUUAAGUCCCGCAACGAGCGCAACCCUUGUCUUAUGUUGCCAGCACGUUAUGGUGGGAACUCAUGAGAGACUGCCGGGGUUAACUCGGAGGAAGGUGGGGAUGACGUCAAAUCAUCAUGCCCCUUAUGUCCAGGGCUUCACACAUGCUACAAUGGUCGAUACAAUGGGCAGCGACAUCGUGAGGUGAAGCGAAUCCCUGAAAGUCGGCCUUAGUUCGGAUUGGGGUCUGCAACUCGACCCCAUGAAGUCGGAGUCGCUAGUAAUC
This 766-nucleotide ribosomal RNA is filed under the name uncultured bacterium. RNAcentral's name for it is "bacterial SSU rRNA". It matches the Rfam family "Bacterial small subunit ribosomal RNA", at positions 578 to 1343 of the family's 1533-position model. The record is from RNAcentral.